RNAcentral lists this ribosomal RNA (497 nucleotides) under uncultured bacterium. Its description in RNAcentral is "partial 16S ribosomal RNA". It matches the Rfam family "Bacterial small subunit ribosomal RNA", at positions 28 to 507 of the family's 1533-position model. The record is from RNAcentral.
GAUGAACGCUGGCGGCGUGCCUAAUACAUGCAAGUCGAGCGAACGGACGAGAAGCUUGCUUCUCUGAUGUUAGCGGCGGACGGGUGAGUAACACGUGGAUAACCUACCUAUAAGACUGGGAUAACUUCGGGAAACCGUAGCUAAUACCGGAUAAUAUUUUGAACCGCAUGGUUCAAAAGUGAAAGACGGUCUUGCUGUCACUUAUAGAUGGAUCCGCGCUGCAUUAGCUAGUUGGUAAGGUAACGGCUUACCAAGGCAACGAUGCAUAGCCGACCUGAGAGGGUGAUCGGCCACACUGGAACUGAGACACGGUCCAGACUCCUACGGGAGGCAGCAGUAGGGAAUCUUCCGCAACGGGCGAAAGCAUGACGGAGCAACGCCGCGUGAGUGAUGAAGGUCUUCGGAUCGUAAAACUCUGUUAUUAGGGAAGAACAUAUGUGUAAGUAACUGUGCACAUCUUGACGGUACCUAAUCAGAAAGCCACGGCUAACUACGUG